RNAcentral lists this ribosomal RNA (1254 nucleotides) under metagenome. RNAcentral's name for it is "bacterial SSU rRNA". It matches the Rfam family "Bacterial small subunit ribosomal RNA", at positions 243 to 1520 of the family's 1533-position model. The record is from RNAcentral.
AGCUAGUUGGUGAGGUAAUGGCUCACCAAGGCAAUGACACCUAACUGGUUUGAGAGGAUGAUCAGUCACACUGGAACUGAGACACGGUCCAGACUCCUACGGGAGGCAGCAGUGGGGAAUAUUGCACAAUGGACGAAAGUCUGAUGCAGCAACGCCGCGUGGAGGAUGACACAUUUCGGUGCGUAAACUCCUUUUAUAUAGGAAGAUAAUGACGGUACUAUAUGAAUAAGCACCGGCUAACUCCGUGCCAGCAGCCGCAGUAAUACGGAGGGUGCAAGCGUUACUCGGAAUUACUGGGCGUAAAGAGCGUGUAGGCGGGUAAAUAAGUUGGAAGUGAAAUCCUAUGGCUCAACCAUAGAACUGCUUCAAAAACUGUUAACCUAGAAUGUGGGAGAGGUAGAUGGAAUUUCCGGUGUAGGGGUAAAAUCCGUAGAUAUCAGAAGGAAUACCGAUUGCGAAGGCGAUCUACUGGAACAUAAUUGACGCUGAGACGCGAAAGCGUGGGGAGCAAACAGGAUUAGAUACCCUGGUAGUCCACGCCCUAAACGAUGUACACUAGUUGUUGUGAGGCUAGACCUUGCAGUAAUGCAGUUAACACAUUAAGUGUACCGCCUGGGGAGUACGGUCGCAAGAUUAAAACUCAAAGGAAUAGACGGGGACCCGCACAAGCGGUGGAGCAUGUGGUUUAAUUCGACUAUACGCGAAGAACCUUACCUGGUCUUGACAUAGAAAGAACUUUCCAGAGAUGGAUUGGUGCCUGCUUGCAGGAGCUUUCAUACAGGUGCUGCACGGCUGUCGUCAGCUCGUGUCGUGAGAUGUUGGGUUAAGUCCCGCAACGAGCGCAACCCUCGUCGUUAGUUGCUAACAGUUCGGCUGAGAACUCUAACGAGACUGCCUACGCAAGUAGGAGGAAGGUGAGGACGACGUCAAGUCAUCAUGGCCCUUACGACCAGGGCUACACACGUGCUACAAUGGGGUAUACAAAGAGCAGCGAUACGGUGACGUGGAGCGAAUCUCAAAAAUGCCUCCCAGUUCGGAUAGUAGUCUGCAACUCGACUACUUGAAGUUGGAAUCGCUAGUAAUCGUAGAUCAGCUAUGCUACGGUGAAUACGUUCCCGGGUCUUGUACUCACCGCCCGUCACACCAUGGGAGUUGAAUUCAUUCGAAGCGGGGAUGCUAAAAUAGCUACCUUCCACAGUGGAUUUAGCGACUGGGGUGAAGUCGUAACAAGGUAACCGUAGGAACCUGCGGUUG